GACGGCGUAGCAUAGUGGUAGUGUGUUCGCCUCGGAACCGAGAGGUUGUGGGUUCGAAUCCGGCUGCCGUGU
Molecule: non-coding RNA, 72 nt
Organism: Branchiostoma floridae (Florida lancelet)
Lineage: Eukaryota; Metazoa; Chordata; Leptocardii; Amphioxiformes; Branchiostomatidae
Source: Rfam